Molecule: ribosomal RNA, 852 nt
Filed under: Escherichia coli
Lineage: Bacteria; Pseudomonadati; Pseudomonadota; Gammaproteobacteria; Enterobacterales; Enterobacteriaceae
Description: partial 23S ribosomal RNA
Rfam family: Bacterial large subunit ribosomal RNA
Source: RNAcentral
CCGGUAAACGGCGGCCGUAACUAUAACGGUCCUAAGGUAGCGAAAUUCCUUGUCGGGUAAGUUCCGACCUGCACGAAUGGCGUAAUGAUGGCCAGGCUGUCUCCACCCGAGACUCAGUGAAAUUGAACUCGCUGUGAAGAUGCAGUGUACCCGCGGCAAGACGGAAAGACCCCGUGAACCUUUACUAUAGCUUGACACUGAACAUUGAGCCUUGAUGUGUAGGAUAGGUGGGAGGCUUUGAAGUGUGGACGCCAGUCUGCAUGGAGCCGACCUUGAAAUACCACCCUUUAAUGUUUGAUGUUCUAACGUUGGCCCCUGAUCGGGGUUGCGGACAGUGUCUGGUGGGUAGUUUGACUGGGGCGGUCUCCUCCUAAAGAGUAACGGAGGAGCACGAAGGUUGGCUAAUCCUGGUCGGACAUCAGGAGGUUAGUGCAAUGGCAUAAGCCAGCUUGACUGCGAGCGUGACGGCGCGAGCAGGUGCGAAAGCAGGUCAUAGUGAUCCGGUGGUUCUGAAUGGAAGGGCCAUCGCUCAACGGAUAAAAGGUACUCCGGGGAUAACAGGCUGAUACCGCCCAAGAGUUCAUAUCGACGGCGGUGUUUGGCACCUCGAUGUCGGCUCAUCACAUCCUGGGGCUGAAGUAGGUCCCAAGGGUAUGGCUGUUCGCCAUUUAAAGUGGUACGCGAGCUGGGUUUAGAACGUCGUGAGACAGUUCGGUCCCUAUCUGCCGUGGGCGCUGGAGAACUGAGGGGGGCUGCUCCUAGUACGAGAGGACCGGAGUGGACGCAUCACUGGUGUUCGGGUUGUCAUGCCAAUGGCACUGCCCGGUAGCUAAAUGCGGAAAAGAUAAGUGC